AGGGGACAGAAUUUUACGAGUAUAAGCUACACUCAUGCUACACCUGAGGAUAAGGUCGGUGGUUUGUAAACCUGUCUAAACAUCAGAACUAACUUUUCAAAAAAGAAGCUUUUCAAAAAAUAUAGAUCGUCAGGCCCCACUCCUAAUGUGCUGAAUCAGGAGUUCUAGAGAGAAUGUCCUAGAAUCUUUAUUUUAAACAACUUCUAGGUAAGUUGUAUCAACUUCAUCAAGUUUAAAGAUCUCUUUUUAUUUUUUUUAAUUUUUAAAAAGAUUUUAUCUAUUUAUUUGACACAGAGAGCAAGCAAGCACAAGCGGGGGAGUGGCAUGGAGAGGGAGAAGCAGUUUCCCCACGGAAGCAGGGAGCCCAAUGCAAGGCUCAAUCCCAGGACCCUGGGAUCAUGACCUGAGCUGAAGGCAGACAUUUAACUGAUUGAGCCACUCAGGGGCCUCUAAGGAUCCCUUUUAAUCAAAACAUCUGAGUGCCUGCUCCCUCUCCCCCGGUAACUAGUGUAUUUCUUCUAUUGAGUGAGAAAAUACAUAAAGACAGAAAAAACCUAUUAUGAAUUUAGUGAUGACUUCAAGUGAAUUUGUAUUUUAUUACAUAGAACCAUAUCUACAGGUUUAAAACUGAUAUGAAUAUCAUUUUUACUGAAGCACAUGCAUGUAAGACAUUAUUUAUUCAACUUGCAGAAAUACAAGGUUGCAUAUAGGGCUUCCAAAUCCUUAUUAACCAGGAGUCCUCACCCUGACGCUAAAGUCCAUCCAUAGUCUGGAUCAAGAACUAUGGAUCCAGUGACAGGUCCUAACCCAAAUUAUGCGACAGACCAAUAAAAUAUUGGAUUUUCUACCACAGACACUGCAAAUGAGGGAGAACAGAAGUGGAAGAGGGAAAAGGCAGAAAUAGGGACUGUCACCACACCUCAUGCUCAGAUAGAUGACCCUGCCUUAUUACGGUGUUCACACGGAUGGUGGAAUAAGAUGACAGUAGCAUUUUUCUCACCAGCUAAGAUCUGGGGGAGGGGAGGGGAGAUUAUAAAUAAUAAAUAAGUGUAAUAAAAAAGAUAUGUCUGUCUGUUUCUCUCCCCUUUUCCCUAAUUGCUCUGAGAAGGUGGUCAUUUAUGUAAAGUACAAAAUCUAGUACUAGACUCCACCUUCUCCCCCAGCCCCACCC
This 1171-nucleotide long non-coding RNA is filed under the name Canis lupus familiaris (dog). Its description in RNAcentral is "lncRNA (ENSCAFG00000059322.1)". Lineage: Eukaryota; Metazoa; Chordata; Mammalia; Carnivora; Canidae. The record is from RNAcentral.